This is a non-coding RNA of Coturnix japonica (Japanese quail), 812 nucleotides long. The record is from RefSeq and is a predicted model, not a curated record. Lineage: Eukaryota; Metazoa; Chordata; Aves; Galliformes; Phasianidae.
GAAUGAGUCCCAUCUUCCUCCAGACCUCACACCCCCUCCUUUUUCCUAUUGAAUAAAGGCACGCUCGUGCUCAAUCAACGCCUUGACUGAAUUCUGAGUUUUCAUUCGCAGAGAUUGGGAUGAGUACAAGAAACAGCAAGGCAGCUCAGCUUGCAACGCUCUGGCUGUGGGGUGCGUGCAGGGACACUGUAACCAUACAGGGAAAGGCUUCCACUGCUUCCUCAAGCUGUAGUCCAGCCCUGCUACUGCUCUGUGGCACAAAGCCCUGAGGGAUGUUCCAUAUUGUUAACCUAAGUGAAGCCAGCUUCAUGCACUGUGUUUUGUUGUUGCUGGGUGAGAGGGGGAUGCACGUUGGUGAGAAGAUGAGCAUUGCUGGAUCUGCCACGAGUGUCCCUUCUGCCUCUAAGAAUAUGUCCUAAGUAGGAUGUGAACACUGCUGGCACUUCCUCAUUGCACGUGCUUGGAGGAUCUUCAGUUCUUGCACAUUCAGGAUGUCUGUCAGUGACUACGAGGAAAUUCUCAAGUACUAGGAAUUCCAUGAAACAGUUGGAACGGGUGGUUUUGCCAAGGUAAAACUCGGGCGGCAUCUUCUUACUGGUGAAAAAGUUGCACUAAAAAUCAUGGAGAAAGUUACUGUAGGGGAUGACUUGCCUCAUGCUAAAACAGAAAUUGAUGCCAUGAAGAACUGAAGUCAUCAACAUGUUUGCCCAUUGGAUCACGUAAGAGAGACAUCAAAGAAAUAUUUAUAGUCAUAGAGGUAAGAAAUAGUUUCUGCUUUCUGUGCUGUCAUUGUUACUUAUCUUUCUCUGAUA